This 330-nucleotide long non-coding RNA is filed under the name Pan troglodytes (chimpanzee). RNAcentral describes it as "long non-coding RNA NONPTRT004289". Lineage: Eukaryota; Metazoa; Chordata; Mammalia; Primates; Hominidae. The record is from RNAcentral.
GUAGAUAAAAGAGCAAACUCUCUUGGCACCUAUAGUCUAGUGAGAGACAGAUACUGAUCAAAUGUGAAGUAUUAAUUUAUUAAUUUAUAAAUACAUGGAGGAAACCAACAGAGUGCCAUGGAAGAGAAAAACAGAGAUAAGCUAAGCAUAGUGGAGUGUGCCUGUAGUCCCAGCUAUCUGGGAGGCUGAGGCAGGAGAGAGAAAGCUCAGGUUACCUACAAAGGGAAGCCCAUCAGACUAACAGUGGAUCACUCUGCAGAAACUCUACAAGGCAGAAGAGAGUGGGGGCCAAUAUUCAACAUUCUUAAAGAAUUUUCAACCCAGAAUUUC